Molecule: non-coding RNA, 203 nt
Organism: Phascolarctos cinereus (koala)
Lineage: Eukaryota; Metazoa; Chordata; Mammalia; Diprotodontia; Phascolarctidae
Source: RefSeq, a predicted model, not a curated record
UUUUCCAGGCUUCACCUCUUCAUCCUUGAGAUCAUGAUUGUCUAGUAACAUCCCUGCAGCUUUUUAAGUGAUAGAAGUCCUCGUCCUUUAGGACCUUGCCACCAAGAGAUGGCAUGUGGUAGGAGCCACAGCUGCCCAACACAGGUCCUACAGCUCCCAGAUGACAUCCUUUAUAUGCCACUGCUACUGAGCAAUUCAUCACU